RNAcentral lists this long non-coding RNA (1259 nucleotides) under Anser brachyrhynchus (Pink-footed goose). RNAcentral describes it as "lncRNA (ENSABRG00000015164.1)". Lineage: Eukaryota; Metazoa; Chordata; Aves; Anseriformes; Anatidae. The record is from RNAcentral.
GGGAGGCUGAGGCAGCCCCCACCCCCUUUGCCCGUUUUCCCUGCUUUUCACCCCAUUUCCCCCCACUGCUCUGGAGGGGGCCCCCAAGCCCCUCCCCCCAGCCCCUCCAUUGACCCGAUUCCCCCGAUUUUGCCCAAAUCCGCUGGUUUUCGCCCCGUUUCCCGAUUCCCCCCUUUUUGAGCCGAUUUUUGCCCGUUUUCUCACUUUCUUCCCUCAUUUACCACCCUCGGCGGGCGCACAAAGGCCGGGCGGAGGCAACCCUCCGCCUUCCCCAACUUUCCCCCUACUUUUUGCCCGAUUCUGCCGCUUUUUGCCCCGUUUCCCAAUUUCUCCAUUUUCCACCCGAUUUUGCCCGUUUUCCCCGCUUUCCGGCCCAUUUUGCCAUCCUCGGUGGGCGCUCGGGAGCUGGGCGGAGGCUGCUCCCCUCCCCCUCCCCCCCUUCCCACCCCAUUUUGCUCAAAUCCGCUGUUUUUCACCCCGUUUCCCAGUCCCCUCCUUUUCCACCCAAACUUGCCCAAUUCUUUGAUUUUUUACCCCAUUUACCAUCCUCAGCGGGCGCAAAGACGUUGAGGCACCGUCAGCGCUUCUGCUUUCCCCGCUCCUCUCCCCGCUUUUUGCCCAAAUUACCCAUUUUCCCCCCCAUUUCCAAAUUCCCCCUUUCCCACCCGAAAUUGCCCAAACUUUGGAUUUCUCACCCCAGUUUGCCACCCUCGCUUUGGGGCGGAAUCGGCUUUUUGCCUCCCCCCCACUCCUCCCUCAACUUUUGGCCCAAUUCGGGCUUUUUUUCACCCGUUUCCCGCUUCCCCCGUUCCUGCCCGAACUUGCCCAAACCUUCGCUUUCUGACCCCAUUUCGCAGCCCCCGGCCCUCGCGCUUCCCCCGCUCCUCCUCCAACGUUUUGCCCAAAACCCCCGUUUUCCACCCCAUUUCCCAAUCCAACCUUUCCCACCCGAAUUUGCCCAAACCUCGGCUUUUUCGCCCCAAUUCACCACCCUCGGGAUCGCGUCAGGACGGGGACAGAGGCCGCCCUUCCGCCCCCGGCCCCUUUUUGCCCACUUUCGCCGUUUCCCACCCCAUUUCCCAAUCCCCCUUUACCCCCCCCAAUUUUACCCAUUUUGGGCGUUUUUCUCCCCAUUUCCCUCCCCCAGCAGACUCCCCGUGACCGGGGCUGAGCCCUCCCCUUCUGCUCCCUCCCCUUUUUGCCCCAAAUCCCCAUUUUUCUCCCCAUUUCCCACCCCCAGCAGACUCCCAGUGACCGGG